Molecule: ribosomal RNA, 253 nt
Filed under: uncultured bacterium
Lineage: Bacteria
Description: partial 16S ribosomal RNA
Rfam family: Bacterial small subunit ribosomal RNA
Source: RNAcentral
UACGUAGGUGGCAAGCGUUGUCCGAAUUUAUUGGGUUUAAAGGGUGCGUAGGUGGUCUAUUAAGUCAGUGCUGAAAUAUCCCGGCUUAACCGGGAGGGUGGCAUUGAUACUGAUGGACUUGAGUGGAGUUGAGGUAGGCGGAAUUGACGGUGUAGCGGUGAAAUGCUUAGAUAUCGUCAAGAACACCAAUAGCGAAGGCAGCUUACUAAGCUAUAACUGACACUGAUGCACGAAAGUGUGGGGAUCAAACAGG